UACGUAGGGUGCGAGCGUUAAUCGGAAUUACUGGGCGUAAAGCGUGCGCAGGCGGUUUUGUAAGCCAGAUGUGAAAUCCCCCGGCUUAACCUGGGAACUGCGUCUGAUACUGGAGGGCUUGAGUGCGGGAGAGGGAUGUGGAAUUCCAGGUGUAGCGGUGAAAUGCGUAGAUAUCUGGAGGAACACCGGUGGCGAAGGCGGCAUCCUGGACCGACACUGACGCUGAGGCGCGAAAGCUAGGGUAGCAAACGGG
This 253-nucleotide ribosomal RNA is filed under the name uncultured bacterium. RNAcentral describes it as "partial 16S ribosomal RNA". It matches the Rfam family "Bacterial small subunit ribosomal RNA", at positions 524 to 776 of the family's 1533-position model. The record is from RNAcentral.